This 253-nucleotide ribosomal RNA is filed under the name uncultured bacterium. Its description in RNAcentral is "partial 16S ribosomal RNA". It matches the Rfam family "Bacterial small subunit ribosomal RNA", at positions 524 to 776 of the family's 1533-position model. The record is from RNAcentral.
UACGAAGGGGGCUAGCGUUGCUCGGAAUCACUGGGCGUAAAGCGCACGUAGGCGGCUUCUUAAGUCAGGGGUGAAAUCCUGGAGCUCAACUCCAGAACUGCCUUUGAUACUGAGGAGCUCGAGUCCGGGAGAGGGAUGCGGAAUUCCAGGUGUAGCGGUGAAAUGCGUAGAUAUCUGGAGGAACACCGGUGGCGAGGGCGGCAUCCUGGACCGAGAUUGACGCUGAGGCGCGAAAGCCAGGGGAGCAAACGGG